GAGGAAUAUUGGUCAAUGGAGGCAACUCUGAACCAGCCAUGCCGCGUGUAGGAAGAAUGCCCUAUGGGUUGUAAACUACUUUUAUUUGGGAAGAAACCCCUCUACGUGUAGGGGGCUGACGGUACCAAAGGAAUAAGGACCGGCUAACUCCGUGCCAGCAGCCGCGGUAAUACGGAGGGUCCAAGCGUUAUCCGGAAUCAUUGGGUUUAAAGGGUGCGCAGGCGGUAAAGUAAGUCAGUGGUGAAAUCCCUUCGCUCAACGAAGGAACUGCCAUUGAUACUGCUAUACUUGAAUAUAGUUGAAGUAGGCGGAAUGUGUAGUGUAGCGGUGAAAUGCUUAGAUAUUACACAGAACACCGAUAGCGAAGGCAGCUUACUAAACUAAUAUUGACGCUCAUGCACGAAAGCGUGGGGAGCGAAC
This 420-nucleotide ribosomal RNA is filed under the name uncultured bacterium. RNAcentral's name for it is "bacterial SSU rRNA". It matches the Rfam family "Bacterial small subunit ribosomal RNA", at positions 356 to 773 of the family's 1533-position model. The record is from RNAcentral.